This 468-nucleotide ribosomal RNA is filed under the name uncultured bacterium. RNAcentral describes it as "partial 16S ribosomal RNA". It matches the Rfam family "Bacterial small subunit ribosomal RNA", at positions 28 to 507 of the family's 1533-position model. The record is from RNAcentral.
GACGAACGCUGGCGGCGUGCUUAACACAUGCAAGUCGAACGGAAGGGCCCUGCUUUUGUGGGGUGCUCGAGUGGCGAACGGGUGAGUAACACGUGAGUAACCUGCCCUUGACUUUGGGAUAACUUCAGGAAACUGGGGCUAAUACCGGAUAGGAGCUCCUGCUGCAUGGUGGGGGUUGGAAAGUUUCGGCGGUUGGGGAUGGACUCGCGGCUUAUCAGCUUGUUGGUGGGGUAGUGGCUUACCAAGGCUUUGACGGGUAGCCGGCCUGAGAGGGUGACCGGCCACAUUGGGACUGAGAUACGGCCCAGACUCCUACGGGAGGCAGCAGUGGGGAAUAUUGCACAAUGGGCGAAAGCCUGAUGCAGCAACGCCGCGUGCGGGAUGACGGCCUUCGGGUUGUAAACCGCUUUCGCCUGUGACGAAGCGUGAGUGACGGUAAUGGGUAAAGAAGCACCGGCUAACUACGUG